CAAGUCGAGCGGACCGACGGGAGCUUGCUCCCUUAGGUCAGCGGCGGACGGGUGAGUAACACGUGGGUAACCUGCCUGUAAGACUGGGAUAACUCCGGGAAACCGGGGCUAAUACCGGAUGCUUGAUUGAACCGCAUGGUUCAAUCAUAAAAGGUGGCUUUUAGCUACCACUUACAGAUGGACCCGCGGCGCAUUAGCUAGUUGGUGAGGUAACGGCUCACCAAGGCGACGAUGCGUAGCCGACCUGAGAGGGUGAUCGGCCACACUGGGACUGAGACACGGCCCAGACUCCUACGGGAGGCAGCAGUAGGGAAUCUUCCGCAAUGGACGAAAGUCUGACGGAGCAACGCCGCGUGAGUGAUGAAGGUUUUCGGAUCGUAAAACUCUGUUGUUAGGGAAGAACAAGUACCGUUCGAAUAGGGCGGCACCUUGACGGUACCUAACCAGAAAGCCACGGCUAACUACGUGCCAGCAGCCGCGGUAAUACGUAGGUGGCAAGCGUUGUCCGGAAUUAUUGGGCGUAAAGCGCGCGCAGGCGGUUUCUUAAGUCUGAUGUGAAAGCCCCCGGCUCAACCGGGGAGGGUCAUUGGAAACUGGGGAACUUGAGUGCAGAAGAGGAGAGUGGAAUUCCACGUGUAGCGGUGAAAUGCGUAGAGAUGUGGAGGAAC
Molecule: ribosomal RNA, 668 nt
Filed under: Bacillus sp. FJAT-17861
Lineage: Bacteria; Bacillati; Bacillota; Bacilli; Caryophanales; Bacillaceae
Description: bacterial SSU rRNA
Rfam family: Bacterial small subunit ribosomal RNA
Source: RNAcentral